Podarcis lilfordi (Lilford's wall lizard) is the source of this 68-nucleotide non-coding RNA. The record is from the annotation of a GenBank genome assembly. Lineage: Eukaryota; Metazoa; Chordata; Lepidosauria; Squamata; Lacertidae.
CCGUGGCACAGCAGAAGAGCAUCUGCUUUGUGUGCAGGUGGUCGCAGGUUCAAUCCGUGCCAGGUAGG